RNAcentral lists this ribosomal RNA (546 nucleotides) under uncultured bacterium. RNAcentral describes it as "bacterial SSU rRNA". It matches the Rfam family "Bacterial small subunit ribosomal RNA", at positions 102 to 683 of the family's 1533-position model. The record is from RNAcentral.
ACGGGUGCGUAACGCGUGGGAAUCUGCCCUUGGGUCUGGAAUAACAGUUAGAAAUGACUGCUAAUACCGGAUGAUGACUUCGGUCCAAAGAUUUAUCGCCCAAGGAUGAGCCCGCGUCGGAUUAGCUAGUUGGUGAGGUAAAAGCUCACCAAGGCGACGAUCCGUAGCUGGUCUGAGAGGAUGAUCAGCCACACUGGGACUGAGACACGGCCCAGACUCCUACGGGAGGCAGCAGUGGGGAAUAUUGGACAAUGGGCGAAAGCCUGAUCCAGCAAUGCCGCGUGAGUGAUGAAGGCCUUAGGGUUGUAAAGCUCUUUUACCCGGGAUGAUAAUGACAGUACCGGGAGAAUAAGCCCCGGCUAACUCCGUGCCAGCAGCCGCGGUAAUACGGAGGGGGCUAGCGUUGUUCGGAAUUACUGGGCGUAAAGCGCACGUAGGCGGCUUUGUAAGUUAGAGGUGAAAGCCCGGGGCUCAACUCCGGAAUUGCCUUUAAGACUGCAUCGCUAGAAUUGUGGAGAGGUAAGUGGAAUUCCGAGUGUAGAGGUG